This 208-nucleotide long non-coding RNA is filed under the name Drosophila guanche. The record is from RNAcentral. Lineage: Eukaryota; Metazoa; Arthropoda; Insecta; Diptera; Drosophilidae.
GUGCAUGAUUGCGAUUUCACUUUAAUGUGUUGGUGGCUCAGAAAUUAGCACUUGAGGAAUGCCUGUGAACACACACACACACCUGUAUCAAUCUGCUAAUAUAUAUUUAUGUAAAUAUGUAAAUAUAUAUCCAUUUAUAAUAUGCGAAUGCGAACGGAUCGAGGCCAGGAGGCGACUGCGGAAUGGGGUUAGGGUGCGGAACGAUGAC